CGGCUUCCCGCUCCGCCUUCCCGCUCCGCCUUCCACCGGCGGCACCAGAGGCAGCGCCCGCUUCUCCACCCCCCUCCCCCCCGCGGCGUCGGGAGAGCGGGUCGGCGCGGGCCCGCCAGUGACGCGAGGGGGAGGGCCGAGCGCCGCGCCGGGCCUUGGGCCUUGUAGGCCGCUGUCGGCGUGACUCGGCCGGGCCGGCCCCUCGCGCGCUCAAGAUGUCGGCGCAGGCCCAGAUGCGCGCCAUGCUGGACCAGCUCAUGGGCACGUCCCGGGACGGUGACACAACCCGUCAGCGAAUCAAAUUCAGUGAUGACAGAGUGUGCAAGAGCCACCUUCUCAACUGCUGCCCUCAUGAUGUGCUCUCUGGAACUAGAAUGGACCUUGGUGAAUGUCUGAAGGUGCAUGACCUGGCAUUAAGGGCAGACUAUGAAAUAGCAUCCAAAGAUCAAGAUUUCUUCUUUGAGCUUGAUGCAAUGGACCACCUGCAGUCAUUUAUUGCAGACUGUGACAGGAGAACAGAAGUGGCUAAGAAAAGACUAGCUGAAACCCAAGAAGAGAUCAGUGCUGAAGUUGCAGCUAAAGCUGAAAGAGUUCAUGAAUUGAAUGAAGAAAUUGGGAAACUGCUGGCCAAAGUAGAACAGCUUGGAGCUGAUGGGAAUGUGGAAGAAUCUCAAAAAGUAAUGGAUGAAGUGGAGAAGGCUCGGGUAAAGAAGAGAGAAGCAGAAGAAGUGUACAGGAAUUCUAUGCCUGCCUCCAGCUUUCAGCAGCAGAAGCUACGGGUUUGUGAAGUGUGCUCGGCUUAUCUUGGUCUUCAUGACAAUGACCGACGACUUGCUGACCACUUCGGAGGAAAACUGCAUUUAGGAUUUAUUGAAAUAAGAGAGAAGCUUGAGGAACUCAGGAGGAUUGUGGCUGAUAAACAGGAGAAACGAAAUCAGGAACGUCUGAAACGUAGAGAGGAGAGGGAAAGAGAAGAAAGGGAGAAACUGAGGAGGUCCAGAUCCCACAGCAAGCAUACCAAAAGAUCUAGGUCCCGAGAUCGCCGCAGACAUCGGUCUCGCUCAGCCUCCCGGGAACGAAAGAGAAGAACUCGCUCCAAAUCCCGUGAGAAGCGCCAUCGUCACAGGUCUCGCUCUAACAGCCGCAGCCGGAGUCGCAGCCAUCAUAGAAGCAGGCAUAGUUCCAGGGAGAGAAGCCGAGAACGCAGCUCCAAAAAGAGCACUGGAGCCCAUCUGUUGUGUACUGCGCCAGAUAAAAACAAGUUUAGAUACACCUGAAAGUAAACUUGUUACAUUGCAUCUGAAGACAUUGCUUUGCAAGGGAAGUGGCUCAACCCCCUCAUUGAAGGAUUACUGCAGAGAGCAGUCUGGGGUUGUUGCCUUUGAAUGACUCAACUGUCUGCUCCUGAGGAUUUGCUGGCUUAUUUUAGACGAGCGAGGUAAGCAUAAUUUAGAAGAGCGGUAGAAUUGCACAAUGAGGCAUCUGGUAAGGAGGUCUGCUCAUAACCAGAAUUCCUUUCCUGUAUAGGUCAGCCACCGUGGCGUAGACUUGAGUGCAGUACACUGGACAGGGUGCCCAGUCUUAAAACCCCAACAGACUGUUGACUUGCAAGGAGAGAAAAGAUCUGACUUUGAAGUGGACGCACAUGCAGGGUUUAUAAUUCGGAUUAUUUUAGGAGUUAAAUCACCAAGGAUGGAGAUACAUAUUUGUAUUGAAGUCUUCAAGUAUCUCAUGGGCUCUUUGCCCUAAAAAUGAGCUUUUUUUUUCUCCUUGGAGUAGGUGGGUGACUCUGGGCCCAUCGUGCUCUGUAAGAGAGCGUAGAAGACAGGGUUGGUCCAAGUCUUUUGUUUCCUUCUUUUUGUUGCAGAUGGAUGAAACUUAGAUGUCCAGCUCUCUAGUUGAUAUAGUCAGUAGUGUCUGGUAUUUAAAAUUCUUCAGGGUGUUCUUUAGUGUCCUAAAGUCAACGUUUCAGACUCAGCAAUUUCCAUCUUGAUUGUAGCCUGUCAUCACAGUUAUCCUAAAGAGUCUGCUUCUUAAAGGCAUUCACAAUGGCAGAUGAGCAAAUCUUCAGAACUGUAGUUUUUCGGUCUUAAAAUAGACAUUUUCCUUUGAAUUGACACAUUUUUUAACUUGGAUGACCCAACGUAUAGAGCGUAUGCUCAAAUUGCCUUUAAUUCUUCAACUUUGAAGUCCAGACUUGCAAGACUCAAUUUCAGUCCUGCAGAGAAAACUAUACUGAUUGAUUGUUCUGGGAUUCUCAUCAUAGUUGUUCAAACUCUCCAAUGUGAUAAGCACAAUGCAAAUAAUGCAUUGUCUUCUGUAUGUUGGCAGAGAAAUAUGUAAGAACAAGGAAAUGGUGUGGACCAUUGGUGCUAUCCAUAUAACAGUAAACCUGUCAGUCUCAGCUGCCAAAGGUGAAUUGAAAAAGCACAAGGUGAUUUGAAGAUGAAGUCAGUGUCCUUUUGAAGGAUGCUAUCAAAAGAUAAGCCCUUCAAGCGUCAUUUUCUGUGAAUGAGUUAAAAAAUAUGACGUACUUCAGGGCACAAGAUUUCAACCUCAGGUUAUUCAGUACUAGAUAUAUUUCUCCUGAUGUCAGUUCUUGCCCUGAAGGAAUGAGACACACCUGUGUUGGAAGAAUCCUUGGUACAAAUCCUCAAAAGAAAGAUCUUCCAGAGACAAAGAACGUUCAAGAGAUCGUGAUAGAACAUCUCGUGAUAAAGAUAGAAGCUCAAGAGAGAGGUCACCGCGAGAUUUCAAAGACAAGAAGCGUUCUUACGAAAGUGCUAAUG
Harpia harpyja (harpy eagle) is the source of this 2789-nucleotide RNA transcript. It is a transcript of the gene named LUC7 like 2, pre-mRNA splicing factor, with no coding region annotated. The transcript has 11 exons. The record is from RefSeq and is a predicted model, not a curated record. NCBI's taxonomy places the organism in Eukaryota, Metazoa, Chordata, Aves, Accipitriformes, Accipitridae.